CUACGGGCGGCAGCAGUGGGGAAUAUUGGACAAUGGGGGGAACCCUGAUCCAGCCAUGCCGCGUGUGUGAAGAAGGCCCUCGGGUUGUAAAGCACUUUCAGUGAGGAAGAACGCCUGGUGGUUAAUACCCAUCAGGAAAGACAUCACUCACAGAAGAAGCACCGGCUAACUCCGUGCCAGCAGCCGCGGUAAUACGGAGGGUGCGAGCGUUAAUCGGAAUUACUGGGCGUAAAGCGCGCGUAGGUGGCUUGAUAAGCCGGUUGUGAAAGCCCCGGGCUCAACCUGGGAACGGCAUCCGGAACUGUCAAGCUAGAGUGCAGGAGAGGAAGGUAGAAUUCCCGGUGUAGCGGUGAAAUGCGUAGAGAUCGGGAGGAAUACCAGUGGCGAAGGCGGCCUUCUGGACUGACACUGACACUGAGGUGCGAAAGCGUGGGUAGCAAACAGGAUUAGAUACCCUGGUAGUC
RNAcentral lists this ribosomal RNA (464 nucleotides) under Vreelandella stevensii. RNAcentral's name for it is "partial 16S ribosomal RNA". It matches the Rfam family "Bacterial small subunit ribosomal RNA", at positions 339 to 795 of the family's 1533-position model. The record is from RNAcentral. Lineage: Bacteria; Pseudomonadati; Pseudomonadota; Gammaproteobacteria; Oceanospirillales; Halomonadaceae.